GAUGAAGAACGCAGCGAAAUGCGAUACGUAAUGUAAAUUGCAGAAUUCAGUGAAUCAUCGAGUCUUUGAACGCACAUUGCGCCCCCUGGUAUUCCGGGGGGCAUGCCUGUCCGAGCGUCAUUGCUGCCCUCAAGCACGGCUUGUGUGUUGGGCCUCCGUCCUCCUCCCGGGGGACGGGCCCGAAAGGCAGCGGCGGCACCGCGUCCGGUCCUCGAGCGUAUGGGGCUUCGCCACCCGCUCUUGUAGGCCCGGCCGGCGCUUGCCGACACAUCAAUCUUUUUUCCAGGUUGACCUCGGAUCAGGUAGGGAUACCCGCUGAACUUAAGCAUAUCAAUAAGCGGAGGA
This 345-nucleotide unclassified non-coding RNA is filed under the name soil metagenome. Its description in RNAcentral is "partial contains 5.8S ribosomal RNA, internal transcribed spacer 2, and large subunit ribosomal RNA". The stretch from base 1 to 120 matches the Rfam family "5.8S ribosomal RNA", at positions 35 to 154 of the family's 154-position model. The record is from RNAcentral.